GGGGAGUGUAAUUAUUCCUGACUGAGUCUUACAGUAAUCUGACUAACUGAUCGGUUUCCAAGGGUCACAAAUACGAACGGUGAGAGUAAACUACAAACGGAAGUGUUAGAAGAUGAAAGCACAGCAUCCUGUGCUAAGAGUUUCUAAGAACUCUCUUUACUAAAGCCAGUAAUUUUAAAAAUGCUUCCUUAAAUCAUGACCAUAGAUAAUGAAGACCAAAAUCCUUGUCUACUCAGUGAUGCUCAGAACUGGUAAACAUGUGGGCCUGCUGGAGCCACCUGCUCUAGACCACUCUUCUGCCUUCACUCUCCCCCACAGCACUUGAGAGGUACAGCUUCACAUGAGAGGCACAGACUCCUAAAAACAAUGAGGACACAUACUUACUUAUAAACUUUUAGAAAACAGAUAUAACAAAUGAUAGAAUUUUCUGCCACUUAAUUCUGAUUGAAAAGUGCGGAGGGCUUUCCAAUUCAAAUGGUUUAAAGGAGCUUUAUGAUACCCACUUUUGACUUAAUCAGGGUAUAGUUCCUCUUCAGAAUCUGCAUUUCCUGUUUAGAUUAAUUGUCGGAGAUCUCUUUGGAAAAACUAAAAACUCAACAGAAAUGUUUUCCUGGGCCAAGGCUUUGACAGUACAGACAUUUUACAUGAGGACUGAUGAUAUGACCCAGACUUAACCCUCUGAAGUAAUGCAGUGAGGUAACCAGGACAGAGGAGGUCUUGCUCAGGACUUGAGUCUCUAAUACAGCUCUGGUCACACUACUGGGGACAACUGGGUACUACACGGCAUUGAGAUACAGAAGCGAAAGCAGAUUCCAGACUCAUCACUUCAUUACAAAACUAUCCCUACUCAU
Molecule: long non-coding RNA, 851 nt
Filed under: Bos taurus (domestic cattle)
Lineage: Eukaryota; Metazoa; Chordata; Mammalia; Artiodactyla; Bovidae
Description: long non-coding RNA NONBTAT000758
Source: RNAcentral